UGGGUCAUGUUAAUAUUCUGCAAAGCCUAAAUGGGAUCCACAUUGGAGGUGUGUAUUUGGGAGGAACAACUAAAGAGUGCUAAACUGUGUCUCAUGACACCCACAGCAACUGGAAACAGCAUUAUUGUUCUGCCAGCAGCAGUAGGUUUCAGUUGGGUGUUCUGUUGCUAGUAGCAACUGCUACCGGCACAGUUCCAUAGAAGCUUAACUGACAUUGUUACAGCCACCAUUUUGUCAGAUCUGUGACCAAGCAAAUACUGACAGGCAUCUUUUAUCUACUCCUUAACUGGCCUUGUUGGAGCAUUAUCUUUUCAAAACUGCUUCCAGUAAAAACCUCAAAGGCCAAUUGCCAUCUUCAGCUUUUACUGGAAGUGAAUCUACACACAUAAUGAGGGCAGAAGAAGAAUUAUGCUAGCACCAAAGAGCAUUUUUCAGUCUAUGAUCCAAUGAAUAAAACAGACAAAAUGUUAAGUGGUAACAUUUAUUUUGAGGAACAGUAUGCUGAAUGCAUUUCAACAGGACUCUACAGGUCCUGUAUUCAAACAUUUCUUAUACGAGAGAUGAAGUGACAGUGACUCCGCCUUUACGGGAAAGUGAAUCCAUGUGCAAACUGAACUGAGAUUGUAUUUUUACCAGACCAGCACCAAUUCUGAAAGUAGUCUGCACUUUUGAAGCAGUGAGGAGCAAAUCAUUCAGCGUUGAAAAAGAACAGAUUUGAUGCAGGGUUCAAUUUCAUGACGUUUCCGUCAUGGCAAAACAGAACUGCUUGCAUGAAAUAGUCUCAUUUAUGAUCAAAUGUAAAACAAAAAAAGAAAAUAAAUUAAUAUUAUACAAAAUAAUUUUGUAUCUCUAUACAUUAUCAAGAUUGUAUGGCCUCUCUUUGACACUAAUGUUUGGCAACAUUAAAAUAAAAGUUGUACAAAGGAGGGUGUGAAUAAAUCUAGUCAAAUAUCAUUCCUAAAUGCCUUGGCUGUUUACCAAGGCAUUGGUCUUUCUCACACCACAGUCCCUGAAUGACUUAUCUUUCCAACAAGUACAUUCACACCAAUCCCAGUAACCCCAUCACGUGAUCUACUGUCAUGAAUAUUAACUGCAGUGUUCUUCAUUAUUCCAUUCUGCAUGGACAAAUACACGUGACUCAAACUAAUUACGAAACCAUUCCCCACAACCAAUCUCAUGAAACUCUUUUCAACCUGCCUGACUUUCAUCGAAUGGCGUGCAAAGACACGUUUCCGUAUAUGAACUCAUCUGAAGAAAACGCAGAUCUAAACAUAAUUUUAGAAGAGAAAAAAUUCCUGACAAAAGAUGACCCCAGCCUGAAAAUAACAUAUUAACAUACAGAGCACACUGUCGGUCUCAGGGUUUCUCAUUCUUGUAGU
Molecule: long non-coding RNA, 1379 nt
Organism: Siniperca chuatsi (mandarin fish)
Lineage: Eukaryota; Metazoa; Chordata; Actinopteri; Centrarchiformes; Sinipercidae
Exons: 2
Source: RefSeq, a predicted model, not a curated record